GUGGGGAAUUUUGGACAAUGGGCGCAAGCCUGAUCCAGCAAUGCCGCGUGCAGGAAGAAGGCCUUCGGGUUGUAAACUGCUUUUGUACGGAACGAAACGGUCCGGGUUAAUACCCUGGGCUAAUGACGGUACCGUAAGAAUAAGCACCGGCUAACUACGUGCCAGCAGCCGCGGUAAUACGUAGGGUGCAAGCGUUAAUCGGAAUUACUGGGCGUAAAGCGUGCGCAGGCGGUUUUGUAAGACAGGCGUGAAAUCCCCGGGCUCAACCUGGAAAUUGCGCUUGUGACUGCAAGGCUGGAGUGCGGCAGAGGGGGAUGGAAUUCCGCGUGUAGCAGUGAAAUGCGUAGAUAUGCGGAGGAACACCGAUGGCGAAGGCAAUCCCCUGGGCCUGCACUGACGCUCAUGCACGAAAGCGUGGGGAGCAAACAGGAUUAGAAACCCUUGUAGUCC
RNAcentral lists this ribosomal RNA (450 nucleotides) under uncultured bacterium. RNAcentral's name for it is "bacterial SSU rRNA". It matches the Rfam family "Bacterial small subunit ribosomal RNA", at positions 354 to 796 of the family's 1533-position model. The record is from RNAcentral.